UCAGGUAGAGAAUACCAAGGCGCUUGAGAGAACUCGGGUGAAGGAACUAGGCAAAAUGGUGCCGUAACUUCGGGAGAAGGCACGCUGAUAUGUAGGUGAAGCGACUUGCUCGUGGAGCUGAAAUCAGUCGAAGAUACCAGCUGGCUGCAACUGUUUAUUAAAAACACAGCACUGUGCAAACACGAAAGUGGACGUAUACGGUGUGACGCCUGCCCGGUGCCGGAAGGUUAAUUGAUGGGGUUAGCGGUAACGCGAAGCUCUUGAUCGAAGCCCCGGUAAACGGCGGCCGUAACUAUAACGGUCCUAAGGUAGCGAAAUUCCUUGUCGGGUAAGUUCCGACCUGCACGAAUGGCGUAAUGAUGGCCAGGCUGUCUCCACCCGAGACUCAGUGAAAUUGAACUCGCUGUGAAGAUGCAGUGUACCCGCGGCAAGACGGAAAGACCCCGUGAACCUUUACUAUAGCUUGACACUGAACAUUGAGCCUUGAUGUGUAGGAUAGGUGGGAGGCUUUGAAGUGUGGACGCCAGUCUGCAUGGAGCCGACCUUGAAAUACCACCCUUUAAUGUUUGAUGUUCUAACGUUGGCCCGUAAUCCGGGUUGCGGACAGUGUCUGGUGGGUAGUUUGACUGGGGCGGUCUCCUCCUAAAGAGUAACGGAGGAGCACGAAGGUUGGCUAAUCCUGGUCGGACAUCAGGAGGUUAGUGCAAUGGCAUAAGCCAGCUUGACUGCGAGCGUGACGGCGCGAGCAGGUGCGAAAGCAGGUCAUAGUGAUCCGGUGGUUCUGAAUGGAAGGGCCAUCGCUCAACGGAUAAAAGGUACUCCGGGGAUAACAGGCUGAUACCGCCCAAGAGUUCAUAUCGACGGCGGUGUUUGGCACCUCGAUGUCGGCUCAUCACAUCCUGGGGCUGAAGUAGGUCCCAAGGGUAUGGCUGUUCGCCAUUUAAAGUGGUACGCGAGCUGGGUUUAGAACGUCGUGAGACAGUUCGGUCCCUAUCUGCCGUGGGCGCUGGAGAACUGAGGGGGGCUGCUCCUAGUACGAGAGGACCGGAGUGGACGCAUCACUGGUGUUCGGGUUGUCAUGCCAAUGGCACUGCCCGGUAGCUAAAUGCGGAAGAGAUAAGUGCUGAAAGCAUCUAAGCACGAAACUUGCCCCGAGAUGAGUUCUCCCUGAGACUUUAAGUCUCCUGAAGGAACGUUGAAGACGACGACGUUGAUAGGCCGGGUGUGUAAGCGCAGCGAUGCGUUGAGCUAACCGGUACUAAUGAACCGUGAGGCUUAAC
This 1280-nucleotide ribosomal RNA is filed under the name Escherichia coli O119:H6. RNAcentral describes it as "bacterial LSU rRNA". It matches the Rfam family "Bacterial large subunit ribosomal RNA", at positions 1667 to 2925 of the family's 2925-position model. Lineage: Bacteria; Pseudomonadati; Pseudomonadota; Gammaproteobacteria; Enterobacterales; Enterobacteriaceae. The record is from RNAcentral.